GGGGACGACCUGGCUUCGACGUGGGUUACAAAACUUAAGGUGCAUGCCGAGUAUGUUGGUUCUUCUCGUAAAACAGACCAACAAAAUGUUAGUUGCAAACGAUAACAACUACUCUCUAGCAGCCUAGGCUUGCUAGCCUCUGACUAAAGCCGUGCUUAUGCGUUUGGUAUCAGGGGUCGACUCUCAUAAGACAAGCUUGA
This 200-nucleotide transfer-messenger RNA is filed under the name Methylophaga sp. RNAcentral describes it as "partial transfer-messenger RNA". It matches the Rfam family "transfer-messenger RNA", at positions 1 to 208 of the family's 374-position model. From Rfam's summary of the family: Bacterial tmRNA, also known as 10Sa RNA or SsrA, is named for its dual tRNA and mRNA-like properties. Its role is to liberate the mRNA from a stalled ribosome. To accomplish this part of the tmRNA is used as a reading frame that ends in a translation stop signal. Lineage: Bacteria; Pseudomonadati; Pseudomonadota; Gammaproteobacteria; Thiotrichales; Piscirickettsiaceae. The record is from RNAcentral.